ACGUAGUAGUCCACCCUUACUGCUGUAAAGAAACGGUACCUAAUCUAAAACAAGAUUAAACAAAGCAGAACUGUGGCCGGUUGGAGAUGAGGAGGAUGAGGAAUGCCUGC
Etheostoma spectabile (orangethroat darter) is the source of this 110-nucleotide long non-coding RNA. RefSeq lists it as uncharacterized. The record is from RefSeq and is a predicted model, not a curated record. The transcript has 3 exons. Lineage: Eukaryota; Metazoa; Chordata; Actinopteri; Perciformes; Percidae.